Molecule: long non-coding RNA, 1182 nt
Organism: Molossus molossus (Pallas's mastiff bat)
Lineage: Eukaryota; Metazoa; Chordata; Mammalia; Chiroptera; Molossidae
Exons: 3
Source: RefSeq, a predicted model, not a curated record
AACCGGUGACCUCUUUGUACACAGGACGAUGCUCAAUCAACUGAGCCACAGCGGCCAGGCUACUAGUGUGUGAAUCUUACCUCAUUGUAGAUUAAAUACAAUUAAGUCACCCAUUUUCAGCCCUUACAGGUUCCACCACAGAGAUCCAUUCUUACCGGGGUCCCCACCAACAAGCUUGUAUCUAAGUCCAGAAAAAACAUGUUAUUACUUGAUGUUACACAGAUGUUUCCCUACCUCGCCUUCCAGUUGACUUCUUCCCAAAGCCAAGGUGAUGAGGUCAGCACCACUCCCUCCUGCAACGCAGCCUGCACAAUAUUCCAGGAUCAAACGCUUCGCCUGGCGCUGCAUCCUGCACACAAACAGCCACGAGUCAGGCUCCCAUUGUCAACGUAUCCAGCUGCCAUCUUGUCUCAGGGACGCCUCCCACCAGGGUCCUCUCCAGUCCUCUGCCGAACACAAAACUAACUCCCUCGUGCUGCUGUUUCCUGUCGACCGGUUACCAAUUUUCUCUGUCUAAAUGUACAGUUUAUAUUCUUCAGGAAGCUUCACGCUGCUUUCCCAUCAGCAGUUUCCAAGCUGUAAGUCGUGGCCCUCAGUGGGCUACGGAGUCAGCAUGGUGCAUCUCUGGUCAGCAGACUUUCAAAGCUGUGGAAUGUUAAUGCCAUGUCGAUUGGGGUAAUAAGACAUGACAUGCCAUUAAACUGAGCAAGCCACGAUCUGGAGCAGUCUCUCUGGGGAAUCCUGGGAUCCACACUCCCAAUUCCGAGUCAAGUUCAGAUGCGGCAUCUGUCCCCUCAGGGGGACUGCUUGCUGCUGGGCGUGGGAAGGCUGUCAGUGUCCCGCAGAUGAUGUCUGUCGGCUGAGGGAACACAAAGUAUGUCUCCAAGGCAGACCCUAUGCUGCCUACCCCGAAACAGGCUUUAGGAAGUAACCAAGCAAAUGUCAUGAAGAGGCUGACCCAAUGAAAUGUACUACUUUAUUCCACCUCAGUUCAGGACUAUCAAGUCCACCACCAUCAUUCCUUAGAAUGUUCAUGAGAUUCUACACAGAUAAUCGGACAAAGAAAUGAAACGGGAAGAAGACAGCAAUUCAAGAUUUCAGAACUCAACGAAAGUUAUAAGACUAGAAGCUUUCCAGUGCUAACAAACGUCUCAUUAAUAUUAUUUUCUUUUAUCCUCACCU